This is a long non-coding RNA of Sphaeramia orbicularis (orbiculate cardinalfish), 2207 nucleotides long. The record is from Ensembl. Lineage: Eukaryota; Metazoa; Chordata; Actinopteri; Kurtiformes; Apogonidae.
UUGUAGCUUUAAUUUAUUUUUAGUGUUCUGUUCAUUAACUGGUCCAUUCUUUUUCUUCUUCUUUUUAAAUGUCUCUUUUUUCUCUGAUCUCAGUCCGUUGACGAAGGUGAGGCUGAUCAAUGAGCUCAACGAGCGCGAGGCCAACCUUGGGGUCAAUGAGACAGUGUCAUGGCACACAGAGUAUAAAGACAGCGCCUGGGUAUUUGUUGGUGGGUUUCCGUAUGAGCUGACGGAGGGUGACAUCAUCUGUGUCUUCUCUCAGUGCGUAUUUCAGACACGUCAGACACCUUAAAUGUCUCACAGCUGCCUUUAUUCUCUGAUCACAAAAUGAAAUGUAAGUUCAAUUCCUGUCAGGUACGGAGAGAUCGUCAACAUCAACCUGGUCCGAGACAAGAAGACGGGGAAGUCGAAAGGUUUCUGCUUCAUCUGCUACGAGGACCAGAGGAGCACCAUCCUGGCAGUCGACAACUUCAACGGCAUCAAGAUUAAAGGUCGGACCAUCCGGGUGGAUCACGUUAAAGAUUAUCGACCGCCCAAAGACUCGGAGGACAUGGACGACAUCACCAAACAACUGAGAGAGGAAGGCUGCGCUCCGAAAGCCCCGGAGUUGUCAUCCUCCUCCUCCGAUGAAGACGAUCAGUACGUCAUCCCUCUGAAGAAGGUCAAAAAAGAUAAGAAAGAGAAGAAGAAGAAAAAGAAGAAAGAGAAGAAGAAGGAGAAAGAGAAAGAAAAGGAAAGAAGCAGCCGGGCGGCGCACUCCUCCUCUUCAUCACCUUCUCCUCCUCUUCCUCCUCCUGCUGCUGUCAGGGUUAAAGAGGAAAAAGAAGAUGCCGGCUAUGACAAGUACAACCAGAGGGGGGCGCCAAAGGGAAGAGAACAGAACGGACAGAGGACGAGGGAAGACGAGAGAGACAGACAGAGACAGACAGACGGAGACGAGAGACGCAGAGACGCAGAAAGAGACGUAGAAAGAGACGAUAGAAGACGAGACACAGAAAGAGACGAGAGACGAAGAGACGCAGAAAGAGACGAAAGACGAAGAGACGCAGAAAGAGACGAAAAACGAAGAGACGCAGAAAGAGACGAAAGACGAAGAGACGCAGAAAGAGACGAAAGACAAAGAGACGCAGAAAGAGACGAAAGACAAAGAGACGAUAGAAGACGAGAUGUAGAAAGAGACGAAAGACGAAGAGACACAGAAAGAGACGAAAGACGAAGAGACACUGAAAGAGAUGAAAGACGAAGAGACGCAGAAAGAGACGAUAGAAGACGAGAUGUAGAAAGAGACGAUAGAAGACGAGACAUAGACAGAGAUGAUAGAAGAAGAAAUGAUAGAAGAGACGUAGAAAGAGACGAAAGAAUAAGAGACUCAGACAGAGACGACAGAAGAAGAGACAUGGACAGAGACCGGUACCGUAAACACUGACAGUCUGUAGAAACCUGCUGACAACGUUUGGUCCAGUUUGUUCAGUUCUGAUCUGUGUUUUGUGUUUUUUUGAGUUUAUCUGAAUAUCACACAUGUACCAUUAAAUCAUUCUGAGUUAAUAGUGGCAGUUAAAGCUGCAGUACUUGAUAUUUUCAGUAUCACCAGGCAAAAAUUUGUAUGUAUAUUAUGGUUCAAGUGUUCUGACAGAAAACACGAUUUUUUUUGCUCUGUUUUCAUUUUGUGGAAAAUCUGCUCUGUGAUUGGUGGAUUUAUCCGCCUUUAGGUAUUUUCAAACAAGUGAAUUUCCUUCUGAAAUAAACAAAAUAUGUCUUAAAAAUGUGCAACGAUUCAGUAAAAAACCUAAAAACAGGCACACAUUUCUAACACAUGAUGCUUCAGAAGAAAAUUCAUGUCACAGUUUUAGUGUUUGUGCUCAUUUUUCUAUGAAUUUUCCGUAACAGCAGAUCGGAGGUAGUUAAUAAACACUCCAUUAGAAACUGGAAACUUUUUAUUAUAAGAUUAGCAGAUACUUUUCUUCAGUUACCUGUAAUGUGAUGCAGAAUAAUUGUAUUAUUCUUGUGAAAUGUUUGUAUUGUCUUUAAGAAUUUUGUAAUAAAAUGUUUUCAGACCAGUUUAUGUUGUUACACAAUUACAGUGAUCCUGUGCAAGUAUAUAACAGCAAAUGGCUGCAAUUUAAAAGUCAGGUAAAGGAGGCUUUGGGGUAAUCAGUGGGAAAAAUACACAAUCUUUGUUGUAAAUAUCCAGUUUUGGGGAGGUGAUG